AUGUAUUUCAGGCCUGCUCUGAUACCAAUUGAAGGGAAGGAAAAUUGUUUCUCUUCCAAAGGCCCAGGUUGCAUCUAAAAUUUUUUUAUUUAUCUAUAUGAUUAAGGAUCAAAUUCUUACCUGAUUAGCAAUAAAACUAGAGAUCAAAUCUCAAAUAAUCAGAUAUAAACCUUCACGGAGGCCUGGAUGUGCAGACCCUCUACUUCACAUGCACAUCAGAUGCC
RNAcentral lists this long non-coding RNA (224 nucleotides) under Elaeis guineensis (African oil palm). RNAcentral's name for it is "long non-coding RNA (EGUI_LNC043475)". The record is from RNAcentral. Lineage: Eukaryota; Viridiplantae; Streptophyta; Magnoliopsida; Arecales; Arecaceae.